Molecule: ribosomal RNA, 390 nt
Filed under: uncultured bacterium
Lineage: Bacteria
Description: bacterial SSU rRNA
Rfam family: Bacterial small subunit ribosomal RNA
Source: RNAcentral
AAUCAACGCUGGCGGCGUGCCUCAGACAUGCAAGUCGAACGAUUAAACUUUCCUUCGGGAAAGAUGUAAAGUGGCGCACGGGUGAGUAACACGUAGGUAAUGUACCUUUGGGUGGGGAAUAACCAUCGGAAACGAUGGCUAAUACCGCAUAAUGCAGCGGCAUCGCAAGAUGACAGUUGUUAAAGAUUUAUCGCCUAAAGAGCAGCCUGCGGCAGAUUAGGUAGNGGUAAGGUAAUGGCUUACCAAGCCUGCGAUCUGUAACCGACCUGAGAGGGUGGUCGGUCACACUGACACUGAAUAACGGGUCAGACUCCUACGGGAGGCAGCAGUCGGGAAUUUUGGGCAAUGGGCGAAAGCCUGACCCAGCAACGCCGCGUGAAGGACGAAGUC